AACGAACGCUGGCGGCAUGCCUAACACAUGCAAGUCGAACGAGACCUUCGGGUCUAGUGGCGCACGGGUGCGUAACGCGUGGGAAUCUGCCCUUGGGUUCGGAAUAACAGUUGGAAACGACUGCUAAUACCGGAUGAUGUCUUCGGACCAAAGAUUUAUCGCCCAGGGAUGAGCCCGCGUAAGAUUAGCUAGUUGGUGAGGUAAAGGCUCACCAAGGCUACGAUCUUUAGCUGGUCUGAGAGGAUGAUCAGCCACACUGGGACUGAGACACGGCCCAGACUCCUACGGGAGGCAGCAGUGGGGAAUAUUGGACAAUGGGCGAAAGCCUGAUCCAGCAAUGCCGCGUGAGUGAUGAAGGCCUUAGGGUUGUAAAGCUCUUUUACCCGGGAUGAUAAUGACAGUACCGGGAGAAUAAGCCCCGGCUAACUCCGUGCCAGCCGCCGCAGUAA
RNAcentral lists this ribosomal RNA (449 nucleotides) under uncultured bacterium. RNAcentral's name for it is "partial 16S ribosomal RNA". It matches the Rfam family "Bacterial small subunit ribosomal RNA", at positions 29 to 523 of the family's 1533-position model. The record is from RNAcentral.